RNAcentral lists this ribosomal RNA (253 nucleotides) under uncultured bacterium. RNAcentral describes it as "partial 16S ribosomal RNA". It matches the Rfam family "Bacterial small subunit ribosomal RNA", at positions 524 to 776 of the family's 1533-position model. The record is from RNAcentral.
UACGUAGGGUGCAAGCGUUGUCCGGAAUUAUUGGGCGUAAAGAGCUCGUAGGCGGUCUGUCGCGUCGGCUGUGAAAACCCGGAGCUCAACUCCGGGCCUGCAGUUGAUACGGGCAGACUGGAGUUCGGCAGGGGAGACUGGAAUUCCUGGUGUAGCGGUGAAAUGCGCAGAUAUCAGGAGGAACACCGGUGGCGAAGGCGGGUCUCUGGGCCGAUACUGACGCUGAGGAGCGAAAGCGUGGGGAGCGAACAGG